This 127-nucleotide small RNA is filed under the name Marmota monax (woodchuck). Lineage: Eukaryota; Metazoa; Chordata; Mammalia; Rodentia; Sciuridae. The record is from RNAcentral.
GCUAGGUGCAGUGGUGCACACCUGUAAUCCCAGAUUCUUGGGAGGCUGAGGCAGGAGGAUCAUGAGUUCAAAGCCAGCCUCAGCAAAUUUGUGAGUCCCUAGGCAACUUAGUGAGACCCUGUCUCAA